RNAcentral lists this transfer RNA (84 nucleotides) under Corynespora cassiicola Philippines. It matches the Rfam family "tRNA". Rfam says of the family: Transfer RNA (tRNA) molecules are approximately 80 nucleotides in length. Lineage: Eukaryota; Fungi; Ascomycota; Dothideomycetes; Pleosporales; Corynesporascaceae. The record is from Rfam by way of RNAcentral.
GGCUCCAUGGCGCAAUGGUAGCGCGUCAGAUUCCAGUCGUCUGGGAUAUCCUGAAGGUUAGGUGUUCAAAUCACCUUGGGGUCA